RNAcentral lists this ribosomal RNA (449 nucleotides) under uncultured bacterium. RNAcentral's name for it is "partial 16S ribosomal RNA". It matches the Rfam family "Bacterial small subunit ribosomal RNA", at positions 29 to 523 of the family's 1533-position model. The record is from RNAcentral.
AACGAACGCUGGCGGCAGGCCUAACACAUGCAAGUCGAGCGAAGCCUUCGGGCUUAGCGGCGGACGGGUGAGUAACGCGUGGGAACGUGCCCUUUGGUACGGAAUAGCCCCGGGAAACUGGGAGUAAUACCGUAUGUGCCCUUCGGGGGAAAGAUUUAUCGCCAAAGGAUCGGCCCGCGUUGGAUUAGGUAGUUGGUGGGGUAAUGGCCUACCAAGCCGACGAUCCAUAGCUGGUUUGAGAGGAGGAUCAGCCACACUGGGACUGAGACACGGCCCAGACUCCUACGGGAGGCAGCAGUGGGGAAUCUUAGACAAUGGGGAAAACCCUGAUCUAGCCAUGCCGCGUGAUCGAUGAAGGCCUUAGGGUUGUAAAGAUCUUUCAGUGGGGAAGAUAAUGACUGUACCCACAGAAGAAGCCCCGGCUAACUCCGUGCCAGCCGCCGCGGUAA